UUUCAGCCAGUGCCCAAGCACCAGAAACACAGGGACUGGAGCUUUGUUUUGUGAAUCUGUUCCAUUUUCUGCUUUGCGGCACCAAAGAGCACCCACGUGGCUGCCGCUCCAGAGAGUGGUGUGUGACUGCCGGGUUCAAACCAAUUCAGGUCAGGUUCUGAAGUUGAACUGGAGCAGCAAAAGGAAAAGCAGAAAAGUGGGGGAAUGCACAAAGGACUGCAGAAGUCCUGGAAGCACGGCAGCUUGCAUCCGCUCCACUUCCUAUCCCCUCUCCUCUCAAGGUGAGCAUUUUCAUGGAGUACAGAGCAGCAGCUGUGAUGUAACUUUGUGCUCCAGGGACCACAGCUGCUGUCUGAACCUUUCAGCGCAGAGGAGCUGAGCUCCCAACACUCUGCACGUAACUCUGCUUUGUUCUAUUCAUUUAACUCAAACGUUUUCUUUAAGAGAAUAAACUGUACAGGUUUAAAUUGUAACAGAAGAUAAGAAAUGUUUUAAGAUGAUAGUCAGUAUCUUUUGUUAAACAUGGGGUAAGUCUUGCCCAAAGGAUUUGGUCAUUGCUGGAUUAACCUGAACACUAGAGGUCUGAGCAGCACAAAAUUCUAAUCUGCUCUGCAUGAGACAGCAAGAUAAAAAGGAAAGUGGGUUUUUUUGGGGUGUUUAUUCAUUUGGCUUUGCCAAGAAACCUCAGAGACUUAAUCAGCCUCCUAAGAAAAGCCAUAAAUCCAGCUAGCACACAGUGGUAAGGGGAAGAGAUGCUCUAAGACCUAUGUGUAAGCACAAUUGCACCUGAGAAACUCCCUGGUGUCACACUGCAAAGGUUUCCUGAAGUCCCCAGUG
Cyanistes caeruleus (blue tit) is the source of this 837-nucleotide long non-coding RNA. RefSeq lists it as uncharacterized. NCBI's taxonomy places the organism in Eukaryota, Metazoa, Chordata, Aves, Passeriformes, Paridae. The record is from RefSeq and is a predicted model, not a curated record.